This 231-nucleotide unclassified non-coding RNA is filed under the name uncultured fungus. RNAcentral describes it as "sequence contains ITS1". Lineage: Eukaryota; Fungi. The record is from RNAcentral.
UUGCUUUAAUUUAUCAAUUUGACUUAGGCAUGUGACACGGUUAUUUCAGAAUUUGUAAAGGUAGGCUCUCGGCGGACGCGGGCCAGAGGACGCCUCGCGGCAAAUCCUCCGGCGGUCUCGCGAGAGACGGGUCCGCCGAAGCAACAGAGGUUCGGUAAUCAAAGGGUUGGGAGGUCGGGCCUGGAAGACCCUAACUCUGUAAUGAUCCUUCCGCAGGUUCACCUACGGAAA